CCUACGGGAGGCAGCAGUGGGGAAUAUUGGGCAAUGGACGCAAGUCUGACCCAGCAACGCCGCGUGAAGGAAGAAGGCUUUCGGGUUGUAAACUUCUUUUAAGGGGGAAGAGCAGAAGACGGUACCCCUUGAAUAAGCCACGGCUAACUACGUGCCAGCAGCCGCGGUAAUACGUAGGUGGCAAGCGUUGUCCGGAUUUACUGGGUGUAAGGGGCGUGCAGCCGGAGAGACAAGUCAGAUGUGAAAUCCACGGGCUCAACCCGUGAACUGCAUUUGAAACUGUUUCCCUUGAGUGUCGGCAGGGUAGUCGGAAUUCCUGGUGUAGCGGUGAAAUGCGUAGAUAUAAGGAAGAACACCAGUGGCGAAGGCAGAUUACUGGACGAUAACUGACGGUGAGGCGCGAAAGCGUGGGGAGCAAACAGGAUUAGAUACCCUUGUAGUC
RNAcentral lists this ribosomal RNA (442 nucleotides) under uncultured bacterium. RNAcentral's name for it is "partial 16S ribosomal RNA". It matches the Rfam family "Bacterial small subunit ribosomal RNA", at positions 338 to 795 of the family's 1533-position model. The record is from RNAcentral.